UACGUAGGGGGCUAGCGUUGUCCGGAAUCAUUGGGCGUAAAGAGCGCGUAGGCGGCUGGAAUAGUCCGGUGUGAAAUCCACAGGCUUAACCUGUGAAUGCCGCUGGAAACUGUCUGGCUAGAGUCCGGAAGGGGCGAGUGGAAUUCCUGGUGUAGCGGUGAAAUGCGCAGAUAUCAGGAGGAACACCAAUGGCGAAGGCAGCUCGCUGGGACGGUACUGACGCUGAGGCGCGAAAGCCAGGGGAGCAAACGGG
This 253-nucleotide ribosomal RNA is filed under the name uncultured bacterium. RNAcentral describes it as "partial 16S ribosomal RNA". It matches the Rfam family "Bacterial small subunit ribosomal RNA", at positions 524 to 776 of the family's 1533-position model. The record is from RNAcentral.